UAGGGAAUCUUCCACAAUGGACGCAAGUCUGAUGGAGCAACGCCGCGUGAGUGAAGAAGGUUUUCGGACCGUAAAGCUCUGUUGUUGGUGAAGGAGGAUAGAGGUAGUAACUGGCCUUUAUUUGACGGUAAUCAACCAGAAAGUCACGGCUAACUACGUGCCAGCAGCCGCGGUAAUACGUAGGUGGCAAGCGUUGUCCGGAUUUAUUGGGCGUAAAGCGAGCGCAGGCGGAAGAAUAAGUCUGAUGUGAAAGCCCUCGGCUUAACCGAGGAAUUGCAUCGGAAACUGUUUUCUUGAGUGCAGAAGAGGAGAGUAGAACUCCAUGUGUAGCGGCGGAAUGCGUAGAUAUAUGGAAGAAUACCAGUGGCGAAGGCGGCUCUCUGGUCUGCAACUGACGCUGAGGCUCGAAAGCAUGGGUAGCGAACAGGAUUAGAUACCCUGGUAGUCCAUGCCGUAAACGAUGAGUGCUAAGUGUUGGGAGGCUUCCGCCUCUCAGUGCUGCAGCUAACGCAUUAAGCACUCCGCCUGGGGGAGUACGACCGCAAGGUUGAAAC
Molecule: ribosomal RNA, 554 nt
Filed under: uncultured bacterium
Lineage: Bacteria
Description: partial 16S ribosomal RNA
Rfam family: Bacterial small subunit ribosomal RNA
Source: RNAcentral